Molecule: non-coding RNA, 31 nt
Filed under: Homo sapiens (human)
Lineage: Eukaryota; Metazoa; Chordata; Mammalia; Primates; Hominidae
Source: RNAcentral
UUUAAAGCUGGUGCAGCCUUUCUGGAGGGCC